UUGGAGGGCAAGUCUGGUGCCAGCAGCCGCGGUAAUUCCAGCUCCAAUAGCGUAUAUUAAAGUUGUUGCAGUUAAAAAGCUCGUAGUUGAAUUUCGGGGUUCUACCGUUGGUCGGGCUUUGUCUGUACUGGUGUGUAGAAUUUCUACCUUCUGGGGAACCAUCAUGCUAUUAAUUUAGCGUGGUGGGAAACCAGGACCUUUACCUUGAAAAAAUUAGUGUGUUCAAAGCAGGCUUAUGUCUGAAUACAUUAGCGUGGAAUAAUAGAAUAGGACGGUGGUCCUGUUUUGUUGGUUUCUGAAUCACCGUAAUGAUUAAUAGGGAUAGUUGGGGGCAUUAGUAUUCAAUUGUCAGAGGUGAAAUUCUUGGAUUUAUUGAAGACUAACUACUGCGAAAGCAUUUGCCAAGGAUGUUUUCAUUAAUCAAGAACGAAAGUUAGGGGAUCGAAGACGAUCAGAUACCGUCGUAGUCGUAACCAUAAACUAUGCCGACUAGGGAUCGGAUGAUGUUAAUUUUUUAAUGACUCGUUCGGCGCCUUACGGGAAAC
RNAcentral lists this ribosomal RNA (545 nucleotides) under uncultured Glomeromycotina. Its description in RNAcentral is "SSU rRNA". It matches the Rfam family "Eukaryotic small subunit ribosomal RNA", at positions 548 to 1098 of the family's 1831-position model. Lineage: Eukaryota; Fungi; Glomeromycota. The record is from RNAcentral.